UACGGAUUUAGCUAGCGUUGUUCGGAAUUACUGGGCGUAAAGCGCACGUAGGCGGCAAUCCAAGUCAGGGGUGAAAUCCCGGGGCUCAACCCCGGAACUGCCCUUGAAACUGGAUCGCUAGAAUCUUGGAGAGGCGAGUGGAAUUCCGAGUGUAGAGGUGAAAUUCGUAGAUAUUCGGAAGAACACCAGUGGCGAAGGCGACUCGCUGGACAAGUAUUGACGCUGAGGUGCGAAAGCGUGGGGAGCAAACAGG
This 253-nucleotide ribosomal RNA is filed under the name uncultured bacterium. Its description in RNAcentral is "partial 16S ribosomal RNA". It matches the Rfam family "Bacterial small subunit ribosomal RNA", at positions 524 to 776 of the family's 1533-position model. The record is from RNAcentral.